CUAACAAGGAUUCCCUUAGUAACGGCGAGUGAACAGGGAUUAGCCCAGCACCGAAGCCUGUGGCCAUUUGGUUACUAGGCAAUGUGGUGUUCAGGUCGUUCCGCAGAGGCACUGCUCCACUCCAAGUCCAGCAAUGAGUACGGUAGUACAGACUUGGCCCAAAGAGGGUGAAAGGCCCGUGGGGGUGGAGAUUCAGGCAUGCCAGUGUCUCUCUGGGUAGACCUUGGAGUCGGGUUGUUUGUGAAUGCAGCCCAAAGCGGGUGGUAAACUCCAUCCAAGGCUAAAUACUAGCACGAGUCCGAUAGCGAACAAGUACCGUGAGGGAAAGUUGAAAAGUACUUUGAAGAGAGAGUAAACAGUGCGUGAAACCGCUCAGAGGUAAACGGGUGGAGUUGAACUGCAAGCCUUGAGAAUUCAGCUGGUGAGUGUGGUUUGAGCUGGGUCAAAUUGGUUGUACACUGGGGUCUGCGUAGUAGCAGGUCUCUGCCCUCGGGUGGGGAUGCGCGAAUCGUUUAUCAAGCGUUGUGCGCUUCAGUUGUAUUCGGGCCUGCUUGCCAGUGCACUUUCUCAGGGUGUUCACCACGACCGGCACUGCUGUCUGGCUGUUGUGGUUAAACCGGUCUUUCAUCGUCCUUGUGGCUUUGUUUGGUCGGGACGGCAGGUAGCUCGUUGGCUAGUCUGGGGUAACCUGGGCAAUUGGUCUUCGGGUGUAAUCAGCUGACCAUAAUGGUUCUGUGCGGUGUGUCGGAGACGGCGGCUUGUGGUGUGAGCGCGCGUGCCUUGUCUGCUGACUUGUUUGGGUUUGGUUGCCGUGUUGCUUGUUCUGCAAGCCUGGUGAUGGCCUGAGCAUGUUUGGCGGGCGGUUGCGUGUGUGAUACUGAAUCAGGGCCAAUAGUCUGUGGUGUAGUGGUAGAC
RNAcentral lists this ribosomal RNA (915 nucleotides) under Lepidapedon gaevskayae. Its description in RNAcentral is "eukaryotic LSU rRNA". It matches the Rfam family "Eukaryotic large subunit ribosomal RNA", at positions 65 to 633 of the family's 3401-position model. The record is from RNAcentral. Lineage: Eukaryota; Metazoa; Platyhelminthes; Trematoda; Plagiorchiida; Lepocreadiidae.